This 99-nucleotide transfer RNA is filed under the name Rhodococcus opacus. RNAcentral's name for it is "tRNA-OTHER". The record is from RNAcentral. Lineage: Bacteria; Bacillati; Actinomycetota; Actinomycetes; Mycobacteriales; Nocardiaceae.
GUAGUUUGCAGUUACAGCAGGUGACUAAAGGAAAUCACCAGGUCAUCAGCUCCAACGGCUACUAGCAGGUCGCAGGUUCGAAUCCUGCCGGGGGCACCA